GACGAACGCUGGCGGCGUGCCUAAUACAUGCAAGUAGAACGCUGAAGGAGGAGCUUGCUUCUCCGGAUGAGUUGCGAACGGGUGAGUAACGCGUAGGUAACCUGCCUGGUAGCGGGGGAUAACUAUUGGAAACGAUAGCUAAUACCGCAUAAGAGUAGAUGUUGCAUGACAUUUGCUUAAAAGGUGCAAUUGCAUCACUACCAGAUGGACCUGCGUUGUAUUAGCUAGUUGGUGGGGUAACGGCUUACCAAGGCGACGAUACAUAGCCGACCUGAGAGGGUGAUCGGCCACACUGGGACUGAGACACGGACCAGACUCCUACGGGAGGCAGCAGUAGGGAAUCUUCGGCAAUGGACGGAAGUCUGACCGAGCAACGCCGCGUGAGUGAAGAAGGAUUUCGGAUCGUAAAGCUCUGUUGUAAGAGAAGAACGAGUGUGAGAGUGGAAAGUUCACACUGUGGCGGUAUCUUAACAGAAAGGGACGGCUAACUACGUG
This 495-nucleotide ribosomal RNA is filed under the name uncultured bacterium. Its description in RNAcentral is "partial 16S ribosomal RNA". It matches the Rfam family "Bacterial small subunit ribosomal RNA", at positions 28 to 507 of the family's 1533-position model. The record is from RNAcentral.